UUCCAGAUUGUCAGCCUCGAAGAUAACUGUUUUACGGCCUCCAUUCACUAUUGGACGGUAUAAAAUGAUUAAAUACGACAGAAAAGAUGUUUCCCCAGUCAGAUUGUACUUUUAGAAAUCAGCGCAAACGCGUUACUUAAAAGACCGCCUCAAUACUUUGGAGUACAGAUUGGUUGAAACACGGCUUGAGAAGUUGUGGACACGUAUAUAAGCGAAUGUGGGUGAUCCCCCGAAGAAUCAGACUGAAUAUCCAAUUGCGGAUGAGGGUGAUCCGCCGAAGAAUCAGAUCUAUUAUUCAAAAGCGGAUGUUGGUGAUCCGCCGAAGAAUCAGACUGAAAAUCCAAUACCGGAUGUGGAUGAUCCCCCGAAAAACCAGACUGAAUAUUCAAAAGCGGAUGUGGGUAAUCCGCCGAAGAAUCAGACUGAAUAUCCAAAAGCGGAUGUGGAUGAUCCGCCGAAGAAUCAGACUGAAUAUUCAAUAGCGGAUGUGGGUAAUCUGCCGAAGAAUCAGACUAAAUAUCCUUUUUCAUUACAUGAAGGAAAUAGUUCAAAAUACCAUUUUAUAUAUUAACGAAAAUGUUCAAACGUUGCAAUUAUUUCAUGAAUAUUUAUACAUAUAUGAGUUAAUGUAAUGGUGUUCUAUUUUUUAUUAAUUCUUGUCUACAUAUACAUAUAUAUACCGCCA
Long non-coding RNA from Mya arenaria, 685 nucleotides. RefSeq lists it as uncharacterized. NCBI's taxonomy places the organism in Eukaryota, Metazoa, Mollusca, Bivalvia, Myida, Myidae. The record is from RefSeq and is a predicted model, not a curated record. The transcript is spliced from 2 exons.